UACUUAGUGGCAGACGGGUGAGUAACAUGUAGGUAUCUGCCCUUUGGCCUGGAAUAACACGAGGAAACUUGUGCUAAUACCGGAUAAGUCUUUACGGAGAAAGCUUUACGCACCAUUGGAUGAGCCUGCACUUGAUUAGUUUGUUGGAAGGGUAAUGGCCUACCAAGACUAUGAUCAAUAGCUGAUUUGAGAGGAUGAUCAGCCACAUUGGGACUGAGACACGGCCCAAACUCCUACGGGAGGCAGCAGUGGGGAAUCUUGCACAAUGGAGGAAACUCUGAUGCAGCGAUGCCGCGUGAGUGAAGAAGGCCCUUGGGUUGUAAAGCUCUUUCGUCGGGGAAGAAAAUGACUGUACCCGAAUAAGAAGGUCCGGCUAACUUCGUGCCAGCAGCCGCGGUAAUACGAAGGGACCUAGCGUAGUUCGGAAUUACUGGGCUUAAAGAGUUCGUAGGUGGUUGAAAAAGUUGGUGGUGAAAUCCCAGAGCUUAACUCUGGAACUGCCAUCAAAACUUUUCAGCUAGAGUAUGAU
RNAcentral lists this ribosomal RNA (529 nucleotides) under uncultured Pelagibacterales bacterium. Its description in RNAcentral is "bacterial SSU rRNA". It matches the Rfam family "Bacterial small subunit ribosomal RNA", at positions 89 to 652 of the family's 1533-position model. The record is from RNAcentral. Lineage: Bacteria; Pseudomonadati; Pseudomonadota; Alphaproteobacteria; Candidatus Pelagibacterales.